Molecule: transfer RNA, 72 nt
Filed under: Camelus bactrianus (Bactrian camel)
Lineage: Eukaryota; Metazoa; Chordata; Mammalia; Artiodactyla; Camelidae
Also listed under: 2 other names
Rfam family: tRNA
About the family: Transfer RNA (tRNA) molecules are approximately 80 nucleotides in length. Their secondary structure includes four short double-helical elements and three loops (D, anti-codon, and T loops).
Source: Rfam by way of RNAcentral
GGGGGUAUAGCUCAGUGAUAGAGCACAUGCUUUUUGUGCAUGAGGUCCUGGGUUCAAUCCCCAGUACCUCCU